UAAAAUAUAGUUUAAAAAAAAUAUUCAAUUUCGACUUGAAAGAUAUUUAAUUUUUAUUUUAA
Molecule: transfer RNA, 62 nt
Filed under: Brachymeria sp. ZJUH_2016006
Lineage: Eukaryota; Metazoa; Arthropoda; Insecta; Hymenoptera; Chalcididae
Description: tRNA-Arg
Source: RNAcentral